UUAAAAAAUGAUGAAAAUUUACUGCCCCAGUCUGAAUACCAUGACAGAGUAGUUUUUACUGAUAUUAA
Small nucleolar RNA from Vespa crabro (European hornet), 68 nucleotides. The record is from RefSeq and is a predicted model, not a curated record. NCBI's taxonomy places the organism in Eukaryota, Metazoa, Arthropoda, Insecta, Hymenoptera, Vespidae.